RNAcentral lists this ribosomal RNA (942 nucleotides) under Triticum aestivum (bread wheat). RNAcentral's name for it is "partial small subunit ribosomal RNA". Lineage: Eukaryota; Viridiplantae; Streptophyta; Magnoliopsida; Poales; Poaceae. The record is from RNAcentral.
AUGGCCGUGGACCUCAUGGGCUGCUACACCCCUCGCCGCGCCGACGACCAGCUCGCCAUCCAGGAGGCCGCCACCGCCGGCCUCCGCAGCCUGGAGCUCCUGGUCUCCUCCCUCUCCGGCGCGGCGCCGUCCAAGGCGCCCCAGCAGCACCCGCAGCAGCCGUUCGGCGAGAUCGCCGACCAGGCCGUCUCCAAGUUCCGCAAGGUGAUCUCCAUCCUCGACCGCACCGGUCACGCCCGCUUCCGCCGCGGCCCCGUCCAGUCGGCGCCGCCGCCGCCGCCUCCUCCAGCACCGGUCGCUCCACCUCCUCCCCCACCUUUGACCGUCGUGGCGCCGGUGUCGGUGGCCGCCCCGCUCCCGCAGCCGCAGAGCCUGACGCUGGACUUCACCAAGCCGAACCUGACCAUGUCGGGCGCGACGUCCGUGACAUCCACGUCCUUCUUCUCUUCGGUGACCGCCGGCGAGGGCAGCGUGUCCAAGGGCCGGAGCCUGGUCUCCGCCGGCAAGCCGCCGCUGUCCGGGCACAAGAGAAAGCCCUGCGCCGGCGCGCACUCCGAGGCCAACACCACCGGCAGCCGAUGCCACUGCUCCAAGAGAAGGAAGAACCGCGUGAAGACGACGGUGAGGGUGCCGGCGGUGAGCGCGAAGAUCGCCGACAUCCCGCCGGACGAGUACUCGUGGAGGAAGUACGGCCAGAAGCCCAUCAAGGGAUCCCCUUACCCACGGGGCUACUACAAGUGCAGCACAGUGCGAGGGUGCCCUGCCCGGAAGCACGUGGAGCGCGCCCUGGACGACCCGGCGAUGCUGGUGGUGACUUACGAGGGCGAGCACCGCCACUCGCCGGGGCCGAUGCCGAUGCAGAUGGCGCCGUCGCCGAUGCCAAUGCCGAUGGGCGCUCCCGUAGCCGUAGCUAGUGUGUCCGCCGGCAACGGGCACGUCUGA